ACUUCAGUUUUACUUCAAAAACUAUGUACACCAGUUGACUGUUACCUAUAACACAAGCAUUAAGUUGCCUGCUUUAGGAACAGACGACCGUGUGUGUAUUUUAAAUUAAUAUAUCCUUAUUUAUUUGUUUACUUUAAAUGUUAGGUAAAGUAAUUUGAAAUCACUUUAUAGAGUGCUAUUCACUGCGGUGACACAUAGUGCAGAUAAAGUCCUUGAACAUUUUACGUCUGUCAGUACACAUUGACUUCCUCGUAAACAAACACGUCUACCAACAUCAUGAAGUAUUUAUUACUUAUCGUCACGACUUUCAUCGUUUUCACAUCAGUUCCAGCAACACCUCAGCAUCAGCGUGAGGCGUGUUUCUGUCCAGACAUAUAUGCCCCCGUUUGUGCUGUUUCUGGCCAAACGUAUGCCAGUCGUUGCGAGUUAGAAUGUGCAAGUGAUACUCUCCUGCACGAGGGACGUUGUAACAUUUCUACAUAAAUAUAUUAUACAACAAUAAAGACAUCGACUUUUUAAUUUCCCUUUGGUGCGAAUCUUAUCUGAGAAUAUUAAAUACAAAAAACUUAAUCAAUUCAUAUAUUGGUACGACAGGAACGAUGAAUCAUCGUCACAAAAAUAUUGUUUCAAUUAGACAGUAAAAAACACAUACACAAAAUAAAACAUUUAUUAAAUAAAUAAAAAAUAUUUAAGAAAAAACAACUUGUUUUCCUUGUAAGACACAGUUCAAAACACAUUGUUGUGACAGUAAUAAUUUUUUUUAAAAAUUAAUCUUCCUUAUAUUAUAUAUUAUAUAUAUAAUUAUAUAUUAUUUACCUUAACUAAUAUUUAUAUACAUACAAAAAUUAAUAAAAAUAAUAAAUAUGUCUCAGUAAUAAUCAAGAUGUGUUAAUACCUUAUAUACUAUUCAAAUAUAAACAAAUUGUAAAUAAGAAAAAUAUACCUGGUUAAUUGCGUUUGCUAUCAGCCAUAUCAUAUAUCUACGUAACAGUACUGUGUGAACGAGUAAUCAUGUGUAUAAAUAUCUAAUUAUUUGGAUUAUCACUUACGAUAGACGAGCGAUAGCAAAUAUUGUACAAUAAUUGUUGACAUCUAUACAUAUAA
Molecule: unclassified non-coding RNA, 1104 nt
Filed under: Melitaea cinxia (Glanville fritillary)
Lineage: Eukaryota; Metazoa; Arthropoda; Insecta; Lepidoptera; Nymphalidae
Description: misc RNA ENSMCXG00005009635.1
Source: RNAcentral